RNAcentral lists this long non-coding RNA (275 nucleotides) under Olea europaea (common olive). RNAcentral describes it as "long non-coding RNA (OEUR_LNC003860)". The record is from RNAcentral. Lineage: Eukaryota; Viridiplantae; Streptophyta; Magnoliopsida; Lamiales; Oleaceae.
GUAUGUUGGUUUCUUUAUUAUUAUUUUGUUUUAUAGGGUUUUGUGAGGGGGUGGGCAAUGCAAAUUAAGUUAUGCACUCUGAAUGUCAGCAAGAACUGGGUUUAAAAGGAUACGAUCAAUCCAGUGGCAGCAGGGGAGCUCAACAUAGCCAACAACAAAAUCAACAAAACACACAAAAAUGCCAUCUGUCCUUUUCUGGUAUCUACAUUUUUAACAACAGAAACCUUUACAGCAGAAGCUAAAAAAGGUGCUAAAUAUUAAGCUCAAGUAUCCCC